UGCUGUGAUGAUCUUUUGAAUA
RNAcentral lists this small nuclear RNA (22 nucleotides) under Arabidopsis thaliana (thale cress). RNAcentral describes it as "snRNA_15640". The record is from RNAcentral. Lineage: Eukaryota; Viridiplantae; Streptophyta; Magnoliopsida; Brassicales; Brassicaceae.